CCGUCCCCGCCGGGCUGUCGCUGCCGCCGCCGCGGCUCUGAUGCCUUCGGGUUGUCCGUGCUGGUUCCCGCAGCUGCGGGCGGCCCUCUCCGCGACAGCGUGAGCCCCGCGCCCCGAGCCCAUGGAUCCGGACCCGCCGCAAACGGGCGACGCCGUGCCCGUGGCCUCCGCCAGCCCGGACGUGGCCCCGCUGACGGACACGCGUGAAGGCGCGGGAGGUGGCAGUGACAGCGCACCCCGCGCGGCCCCGGGGCAGGAGCGGGACGACGCGCCCCGGCCCCAGGAGGGUUCCCCCUCUCCGGACCCGCAGCUCGUUAGGCCUCUGCGAGCUAUGGAGGGGCUCGGACGGGAGCGGACGGACGGAACCCCCCAGAGUGGGGCUGACUACGGCCUCCUUGUGAGCCAGAACAUGAAGCUCCUGAGUGCGCUGGAGGACCUGCGGCACCGCUGCUCCAGCCUUGCUGAGGAGAACAGCUUGCUGCGCAGGAGCUGCUUUCCCGAGACGGAGGAGAAGGUUAAGCACCUGAAGAGGAAAAACGCGGAGCUGGCAGUGAUCGCCAAACGCCUGGAGGAGAGAGCCCGGAAACUCCAGGAGGCCAACCUCAAAGUCGUAACUGCUCCAGUGCCCCUGAAGGGUUCCAGCCUGGAGCUGUGUAAAAAAGCAUUUGCUCGCCAGCGUGCCAAGGACCUGACAGAGCAAGCCAGUGCUCUCCUGGCAAAAGACAAGCAGAUUGAAGCUCUGCAGCAGGAGUGCCGGGAGCUGCAGGCUAAGCUCAUUGCGGGGAAGGGUGACCCUCGCUGCCUGAACGUGGUGGAGUUCGACCGGCUGCUGCGGGAAUCCCAGAAAGAAGUGCUGCGGCUGCAGAGGCAGAUCGCGCUGAAGAAUUUCAAGGAGUGUCUGCGUUCCUCCAAAAGCAGCUCAGGGGUCUCCUUGCCAAGUGCUGCCGCCUGCCCGGGCUCAGCGCUAAAUACCUGCAGCAAAGACUCACCUGCAGCGAAGGAGGUCUGCUCGGGAGACCCAGCGCUAGGAGGGGCAGCACACAGGAGGGUGGAACCAAGUGUGCUACCAUUGGGCCCUGCCUUGGAAGGACAUGAAAAUUUCCCUCCAAAAAAUGCAGUAACAGACCAAGAGAGCGGCCAACAGAUACAGCAGCUGGAAUUUGAACUCAAGAAAAAGCGCAAAAAAUGUGAAAACCUUGAGCAUGAAGUGAGGAAAAAGCAUAAAAGAUGCAAAGAACUCGAGAUCCAGCUGCAGGAGGUACAGAGUGAAAAUGCACGACUGGCCGAGGAGAACUUGCAGCUGAAUGAGAAGGCCGGAUGGGCAGGACAGGUUGAAUCUGAGAAUGCUGACCUGAAGCUGCAGGUUGUUUUGGUUACUAAGGAACGGGAUUCAGUAAUUCAGAGAAAUCAAGGACUUCAAACCAAGCUGGAGAAUCUAGAGCAGGUGCUGAAGCACAUGAGAGAUGUGGCUGAGCGAAGGCAGCUGCUGGAAGCCGAACACAAGGAAGCGCUGCUAGUCCUGCAGGAGAAGCAAGAGGAAGUCAGACGGUUGCAGCAGGCACAGGCAGAGGCAAAAAGGGAACAUGAAGGAGCAGUACAACUUCUAGAGGCUCGGGUGAAAGAUCUAGAAGACCAGUGCCGCAGUCAAACAGAGCAGUUCAGCCUUCUGUCCCAGGAGCUCAAACAAUUCCGACUUCAAACAGGAAAAAUUGACCUUCUCACCUCCACACUGGUGACUUCUGAACUUCCUCUUGCACUGUGCAGCUCUACCCCACAGCCUCACUGGGAGAAGGAUUCAUCUGGUCCUGCACUGCUUGCUCACCAGAGCACAAAGAAGGUUCACAAUGAAGAGACCAAUGAGUCGGAGUUGUCACAGCAGGUGCCUGAGGGUGCUGUUGGCUCCCCAGUUUCUGUUGCCAGUUCUCAGAAACAAGCCAAGAAAGUUGAAUCUCAGUCAAGCUCUUCAAAAUCAGAAUCCAUGCAGAACAGCCCCAAAUCCUGCCCAACUCCAGAGGUUGACACUGCAAGUGAAAUGGAAGAACUAGAUGUUGACAGCAUCUCUCUGAUGCCAGAGCCAAGCAGCCAAGGCCCUGCGAAGCUUCAGGUCUUCUUGGCUCGAUACAGCUACAAUCCUUUUGAUGGACCUAAUGAAAAUCCAGAGGCAGAGCUUCCACUGACUGCUGGAGAGUAUAUUUACAUCUAUGGAGACAUGGAUGAGGAUGGCUUCUUUGAAGGGGAGCUGAUGGAUGGCCGGCGAGGGCUGGUCCCCUCCAAUUUUGUUGAGCGAGUUUCAGAUGAUGACCUCAUGACGGUUCUGCCUUCGGAGCUGAAUGAUCUCACCCAUAGUUCAUACCAGGAGAAAAGUUUUGUCAGUGCGAGCACCAGCAGUGGAGAUAAGAGUGAUUUCUCCAUUGAAGAGAGUAGCAUCAGUCCAUUGGUCAGUAGAGCAGAAGGAGACCAGGAGGAACGUGUUAGUCACACAGCAGUGCCUUACCCAAGAAAACUGACUCUGAUCAAGCAGCUUGCCAGAAGUAUAGUUGUAGGCUGGGAACCACCACUUUUGCCUGCUGGCUGCCCGGACAUACAGAGCUACAAUAUCUAUGUGGACGAAGAGCUACGUCAAAAUGUGAAGAGUGGCUUUCAGACCAAAGCAGUGAUUGAAAAGCUGGAUUUAAAGACAAAGGCUUACCGUGUGUCUGUGCAGAGUGUGACAGAGAAAGGCAGUUCUGAUAAACUGCGAUGCACUUUCUUUGUGGGGCAAGAUUUGUGUGUGGCACCGACUAUGCUGAAAGUCAGAAAUGUCACUGCCACAUCAGCAGAGGUCACGUGGCUUCCCUGCAACAGCAAUUACAACCACGCGGUGUAUCUGAAUGGGGAGGAGUGUGACAUAACAAAGCCAGGGGUCUACUGGUACACCUUCCGCAACCUGCAGCCCAGCACUCAGUAUGUUGCCAAGCUGGAGGCCCGUCCCUUGAAAACACUCUGGGAAGAGGUCUCAGAGGGGCAGGAGCAGAACUCAGCUGUGAUACACUUCACUACCCCUCUAGCAGGCACGCCUGAUGCUCCUCUGGAUGUCCAGGUAGAAGUUGGUCCCUCUCCAGGAAUCCUCGUUAUCAGCUGGUUACCUGUCACUAUUGAUGCUGAAGGAUCUUCCAAUGGAGUUCGAGUCACCGGUUACGCUGUGUAUGCGGAUGGACAGAAGGCAAUAGAAGUUACUUCUCCAACGGCCGGGAGUGUCCUUGUGGACUUGUCCCAGCUUCAGAUGUUCCAGGUGUGCCAGGAGGUUUCUGUGAGAACGAUGUCUCUGUACGGGGAGUCAGUGGAUUCAGUUCCAGCCCAGAUUUCCUCAGUCUUGCUGAGAGCCUCUCGUCGUUCUUCACCUUCAGAUUCUGCUAUUUCUACUACUUUUACCUCUAGACUGCCCUGUGGAGAAUCCAGGGGCUCCCUGCCUGCACGCAGCCCGCCCACACACCAGAUGGCUGCACUCCAGCUUCGACAAAAAGUCCCCUCUGAUAGCUCAGAUGCCAAAUUGACUGAUCUCUCCUCCAGCCACGAUGGCUCAGCACGAUCUCUGCCAGAGAAAGCCUCUUCGCUGCUGCAGCUCUCUUCGUCCAGUGCUUCCUUGGUACGCACCUCAGGUGCUUCCCUGCAGGGAUCAGACGCUGCACAAGACAAGAAAUGCCUGACAGUGCCUCCUCAGCAAGUGGGCAGCACAGAACUGUCCGGUGAGGGCACAGAGCCUGUCUCCUUAAGGGAAACAGAAUCAAAAAGCCUGGGUGAAGGGAUGGAGGUGCUGAUGGAGCAACCUGUAACUGAAAUGCCAGAGCUAGAAAGCCCAACUAACAGUAGCCUGAAGAUAUGCACGGAGACCUGCCAUACGUGCUCUGUGGAAGAGUCACCAAAAAGUCCCAGUGCUGAAAGAGAGAGGGAGGCAAAGGAGAAGAACUUGAGCCCAGAGCCCCUGCCCUCCCCCAGCCAGGCUGAGGGGAUGGAGGGCACCUCCCGAGAUGCAAGCACGGGUGGCAGCAGCUGCCAGGAGUUCCUGAAGUUGUCCCCUGGCAAGGAGGUGAUGAAAGAGAUGUCCAGAGUAAAAAGAGAGCAAGAAGAAAAAAUGUCUGAAAUAGGAAGACGACAGCUGACCCUUUUCGCUGAGCACAACCGGAGUUCAGACCUUUCAGAUAUAUUGGAGGAGGAAGAGGAAGAUGAACUGUCUUCAGAAGCUCUGGAUGAGAAGAAAUGGGAUCCAAGAGAGCCCUGUUGCAGGGAGAAUGGGGAGAAGAUGGAUCUUUGUGAUACUGACAGCGAUGAGGAGAUUCUGGAAAGGAUACUGGAGCUCCCGCUUCAGAAGAAUCACAGCAAGAAAUUAUUUAGCAUCCCUGAAGUGACUGAGGAUGAGGAUGAGGAUGAAGAUGAGGAUGAGAAGUGUGUUACGGAGGAAAAGGAAGAUCCUCAAGACUCCUUGGAAGCACCUACCUACAUUGCAGGAAGGUCUGAGAAGCCACUAAGCACCCAGGAUCCCUUUCUGAAGGCAGAUCGUAGUGAUUCCUCCCCGGAUCUCUCUGCUCAGACUCCACAGGAGGAGCAGACUGCUAAGGAAAGUAGAGAGGGUGCUGACCACAUGAACCCCAGAUGGAGUCAGAAAAGGGCAAGCUGGAACUGGGGCUACCAGGAGAACGAUCUGAAAUCUGGGAGUGGGGCAAGCCCCACUCGGAGCAAAAAGAAGGGAAACUAUCGAGAGAAGAUCCGGAGUCGACCUGAGAUGGGUAGGAAGAGACAGAAUGAUUUCACAGAGCACUGCAGUCGUCUGCUGGGCAACUGCAGCCAGAUGGGAGGCGGGUUGUACAGAGCUCCCAGCCUCCGGGAGGAGCUGAACAUUGUGAGCAGCUCUGCUGGUAAGGAGGGGUUUGAUGCGUACACUCGUGCUAGGCAAAGCGCCUCUCGAAGAAACCACGGAAAAGCAGUGGUUUCAGGGUUUGCAGAACCUACUGGGAUGGCAGCACACUGCUCCAGCUCCAGAAGCCUGGAAAUAGACAUUGAGUAUGACUCUGAAGACGAUCAGGAUUCGACCUGUUCAUCCCCCCCUGAGAGCAGGCUGUGGCCAGAAAGGGCCCAGAGCUGUCAGGGGGAAUGGAGCAGUUGCUCCAGUCAAUCUGAGGUUAUCCACACAGAUGGCAGAAGGAGCCUGACCAGGCUGGAGAGAGUGGAAGAGCAGGGUAUGGAGUGGGCUGGGUCUCCAAGCCGGCACCUGCGAUCUUUCUGCCGGGAGAAGGAAGCACUGAGGUGUGAGAGCAGCUCUGAGGAGCAAAGCUGGGAGCAGGACUGUAAGUCACCUGGCUGGAGAAGGAGGCUCGAACAUCCUUGGAAGGGGAUACGUAGCACCUCCUUGCACAAAAGGGCGUCUGGUAAUAGAGAUCCUAGGGGCCAGGAGCUGCCUGGCUUAGCUGCCUGGCAGAAUCCCAGCAGAAGAGGGAACAACAGGAGCUUAAGAAGAAGCCAAAUGCAGAAGCCUUUGCUUUCUAGUCCAGGUCCUCCAAGGAGCACUGCUUCAGAAACCACUGUUAAAGAUGAUAGCAUUAGAAUAUUUGUGGCCCUGUUUGACUACGAUCCUGUUUCCAUGUCUCCUAACCCUGAUGCAGCAGAAGAGGAGCUCCCGUUUAAGGAGGGGCAGAUCCUGAAGGUGUGUGGAGACAAGGAUGCUGAUGGCUUUUACAGGGGUGAAUGUGCAGGAAGAGAGGGAUACAUUCCCUGUAACAUGGUAUCUGAAAUCCAGGUGGAAAAUAAUGAAAUCAAGAUGCAGCUCCUAAAGCAAGGGUUCCUUCCUGCUGACCCACCAACGGAGAGCAUAGGAAAUGGCACAUUUUCUCCACCUCCACGCCGCCAAACCGUCCCUCCUCCAAAACCCAGACGCUCCAAGAAAGAACUGGAUAAACAGGAGAAGUACAAGUCUCAUCCAGGACAGAAGCGUCAGGACUUUGAAGCUGAACUGCUGACUCCUCGAAGUAUGGUGGCUGUCUUUGACUAUAACCCUAAGGAGAGCUCUCCAAAUGCAGAUGCAGAGGCUGAACUGACUUUCAGUGCAGGGGACAUUAUCACUGUGUUUGGGUCCAUGGAUGAUGAUGGAUUCUACUAUGGAGAGCUGAACCAACAGAGAGGGCUUGUCCCAUCUAACUUUUUGGAAGCUGUAACUUCAGAUGGAGACAUGGUCGAGGAGCUUCAUUCAAAAGAUAAAGAAGCUUUUUUGCUGAGUGCUGAGAGCCAGGUAAGACUGUGGGACUGCGUAGUACAGACAUCAAACUGUGACAUGGCUGGAGACUGGGCAUUGCACAGCAUGCAGCAUCUCAUGGAGUCAUGUCAAUUGUUGCAUGCAGCUCAGUUCAUUCCAUGGGAGCUCAGAAGUGUAGAGGGGAACACCAGGAGCUCUUAAAAAUUUAACCUUAGUAUGAAAAAAGGUUCAAAAGAGCAAUGUUUGUUGAAUCCUCAUGCUCAGUAUGGUUAGGUGAGCAAAGAACAUGGCAGGUCCCACCAGCAAGUUCUUCGGAUGCACACAAGGGUCAGUGGUGAGAAACUGCUGCAAACAAAACAGUUCAGGUGGCUUCCCAGGCACAAAAUUCUUCAGAUAUGUUCAUAUCCAUGCCAAGGAUUUCUGGUGUUAUUGGCAACUAAACACCAAUGUUUUUCCACCUCUCCCAAGUUAGAUAUAUCUUAAUCCUGUCCAAGGUGCUUUCAGACAAAUUCAGAACAUACAGGGGAAUUUCUCAAGCAGAUCUGACGGAUGGAUUCACAGCCUAAGGCUUUGAGAGCAACCCACAGAUGUGAGGUGUUCCAAGGUUGGGCUAUCCCCCUUGCUUUAUGUUUCUGAUGCUUUUUGAACAAAUGCUUAAGAGGGAGAUUGGGGUCACCUGCCAGAUUCAGUUGGUCCUCAGUGGUUGAGGCCGAAAGUGUGGCUCGUCUUUGGUCACUCCCAAAUCCUCCGUGCUGUGGCAUUCUAGAGAGUGGGAGAUAGGGAGGUACACAGACCCAUAAAAGUGUGGAAGAGCAAACCUAGGUCAACUGUGAGCUACUCCUUAAGGCAGUGUGGUGAGCUACUCUUUAAGGCAGUGUGCUGUCCUGAAUCUUCCUGUCAGUCUCUUCCCUGAUGUCACCCUAGCUUUCUAGCUCCUUGCAGUGUCAUUUGUCCUAUUUUUUCAUGCUCUGCUCCUCCUUUGCUCACUUUCCAUCUCCCUGUCUUCAAAUGCUGCCUGCCUUGUCUGCCACGGGCACCUUCUGUGGCCCUAUCUGCUCCAGGCACAUGAAACUUUGUGGGCGCAGCGUUUGUCCCACAGCCUCAAUGCCUUCCUGUGAGAGGUGUCAGGAAUGCGUCAGAAAUAAGGUUUGUGGGUAGUUUACUGGAUCAUCUUCUAAACCCAGAAGCAGUUUUGGGUCCCUCGUGCUUGUCUGUGUAGGAUACUCAGUCCCUUUGAUCUCAGCCCACAAGUGCUAGUGCUUGCUGAGGAAUUGCAGAAAUUAAUGAGCUGUUACUACCAGCUGUUACUAGGAGGUUACACAGAUCUAAUUUCCUGGGUGGAAACAAGUAUUCAGAGGGGGUUUUCUUCUCCAGUUUCCCUCAGAACAAUUUACUCUUCCCACAUUAUCUAUCUAUUAGAGCAGAAGGUGUCAAAGGAGACCUGAGCCAGUACAAUUAUAACAAGUUGAAUUCAUAAUACAGCUUAUUCCACAUCUGACAUCCUCUCUGGCAUCAACUGGUAAAGGCCUGUUCAGAUGUCAAAGGGUCGUUAUCCCAGCUCCAGUCAGAAAUCUUGGUGAAAAAAUCAUGGGAAGUAAUGAGAAAUUCAGUUAACCUUUAGGGCUCAGAGAACUGAUCUGCCACUUGCAAAUGUGAAGUGUGUGGCUUAGCAAAUGGUGUUCUAUUAAUGAUGUGAGGUAAGAGAAACCAACAAAGCUGAUAUACAGAGUGGCAUACUCAGUAAAUGUGCCCAUAUACCUGUUUGCAUUUCUCUUCAGUGUCUCAAUUUCCUCACCAAUGAGACAUCAGUUUGGCCUGCCAUAUCCCACGCUGUGACAUGCGCUUACAGGAUCCCAAGGGCCCAUCUGCUCCAGCUGCUUCUGCAUGCUGCCCUGCAGUUUGCUGCUGCUCCCUCCGCUCUGCCCUUUCCACUUCUGCUGGGUUCUGCAGCAGAUGACUGUUCCCUGGACACAGCAGUUCACCACUCUGACUCCACGCUGUCCUGGUCUCUGCUUCUGCUUUGCAGUCCAGGUCUAUCUAAACAGCUUCCAGCUAUGAAGGGCAUGCUUGUCUCUUUGUAAAAGCAGUACUUUUACCCUGCUCCUAACCCAGCUUGUAUUACCUAACUACAUUUAAGUACAUUCAGUGAUUCCUGAGGAGAGGCAGAACCUGACCCACAGAGUUUUUGGCUGUCAUAGCAGUCACAGCAUCCUUACCUAUAAGCAGAACACCUGAUGGGUAAGGCAGAAGAAACGUCCUUCUGUAGAAUAUACGUAUUCUAGGGGCCACCCCUGAGCUGCAAUAAACUGUGUGAUACAGCCAUAACUGAGGCUUUCUAGACUCCCACAUAUUCAUUCCAUAGUGUUUAGGAGUGUGCUAGUUAAGUAUGUUGUUGGCUUGUGUAUCUAGCAGAACAUGAAAGCAUCUUUGGGUUGGGGUGAGUGGGCAGGGAGUGUGCAGAAACUCCUGGCAGCCUCUAGGGAAGCACUGUUUGAAUAUUAAACAUAGCAUAACAAGUCUCCCAUCAAAUUUGCCAGCUUCAUUCAUCUUGAAAGCUAACUCAUCAAUGAGCAUGUGUCCUCACCAUGUAUCCUGUGAGAGCUUUGAACUGUGUUAAAACUACUUUACGUCUUAACCGAAGCUUCUCCAGCAUGACCAGGAGUGGUUUUUAAAUCACUUAUAACUUCUUGGAUUUAAAGUUUUCACCAGGUCUCUUCUUCCCAUUUGCUUUCUCUGUUCUGAUGUGACAAAGGCUUGAGAAUAAGGACAAUUUGUAAGUUGAACUGGAGAAGGUGAAUUAUUAGAAUUAUUUCUGAACAAAUCUUAAAAUGCCGGGAACUGAUAAAGGUGAAGCAAUUUGACUUUCGAACUGACAUAAAUUUGGCUAGACUGAGCAAUAAAAAAUGCAGUGCAAAGAGGAGUAUCCAAGAAGUUAUGAUCACAAGCUAGAGCACUGAAACACUGAUGUUCGUCAGCUAGGGGCAGUCUGCUGUAGUGCCGUGGCUGCUGAAUGAAUCUUUUUGCAUCACUAAUACCCAGUUUCUGUCAAAGACUGAUUGUAAAGCACCUUCAGAAAGUAUUCAAUUCUAAUUGAUUUCAUGUAUUUAUUUCUGCCUGUAUUAUGCACCCAUGGCGGUUCUUUUCUUCAGAGAAUGAGGAAGAGAAGAGUCCAGUGAUAGAUAUGAAUGAUACAUAGAGAGAGAGCAACCAUUUAAAUCCAGAUGGAUCUGUCGAUCACAGUGACUUCUCACCGACUCCUCCUGUACUACCUUCCUGCCUUGUCAUGGGCGAGCAGUGU
Molecule: RNA transcript, 9521 nt
Organism: Numida meleagris (helmeted guineafowl)
Lineage: Eukaryota; Metazoa; Chordata; Aves; Galliformes; Numididae
Gene: TSPOAP1
Gene name: TSPO associated protein 1
Exons: 30
Source: RefSeq, a predicted model, not a curated record